Erpetoichthys calabaricus (reedfish) is the source of this 323-nucleotide long non-coding RNA. RefSeq lists it as uncharacterized. The record is from RefSeq and is a predicted model, not a curated record. The transcript is spliced from 4 exons. Lineage: Eukaryota; Metazoa; Chordata; Cladistia; Polypteriformes; Polypteridae.
AUGCAACACCGCAAGACCCUUCCACACCCUGUUGAUCUAUUAAGCCCUCCCCCUUUAAUGCUAAUCAUGUAAAUUAGCAUAAUGCAACACCGCAAGACCCUUCCACACCCUGUUGAUCUAUUAAGCCCUCCCCCUUUAAUGCUAAUCAUGUAAAUUAGCAUAAUGCAACACCGCAAGACCCUUCCACACCCUGUUUAUCUCUUAAUCCCUCCCCCUUUAAUGCUAAUCAUGCAAAUUAGCAUAAUGCAGCACCCCAAGACCCUUUCACACCCUGUUUAUCUCUUAAUCCCUCCCCCUUUAAUGCUAAUCAUGUAAAUUAGCAU